This 2010-nucleotide ribosomal RNA is filed under the name Triticum aestivum (bread wheat). RNAcentral's name for it is "partial small subunit ribosomal RNA". Lineage: Eukaryota; Viridiplantae; Streptophyta; Magnoliopsida; Poales; Poaceae. The record is from RNAcentral.
AUGAUCUCCCACAAACUCUGCUGCUGCGUCUCCAUUCUCGUCGCCCCCUUCCUUGCACAGCUCGCCUCCGGCGACGUGCUGUGGCAAGAAUGCGACAACAGCCGGAACUACACGGCGAACAGCGGCUUCCAAUCAAACCUAAAGCAGCUCUCCACCACCCUCCCCACUGAAUCCUCCUCAUCUCCCACCCUCUUCGCUACCGCCGCCGUAGGUGCCAUCCCGGACACCGCGUACGCGCUCUCGCUCUGCCGUGGCGACACCACCAACGCCUCCGCCUGCGGCGACUGCGUCGCCAACGCCUUCCGGGACGCGCAGCAGGUGUGCUCGUACAACAUGGACGUGACCAUCUACUACGACCCCUGCUACCUCCGCUUCUCCAACCAGAACUUCCUGACUUCCAUCGACAACACCAAACGGCACAUCAUGCCCAAUGGCGAGAACGUGACGUCGCCGGCCGCAACGUUCGACGCCGCCGUGGGUGUUCUCCUUGCUGCUGUCGCGGACUACGCAGCGUUGAACUCAUCCAGGCGGUUUGGCACAGGGGUAGAGGACCUCGACGUGAGCACCCCGAGAAUCUAUGCGAUGGCGCAGUGCACGCCGGACAUGGCACCGGCCGAUUGCCGGAGCUGCCUGGAGGGAAUAGUAAGUGUGAUGCCGAAGCACUUCAGCAGGCGGCAGGGAGGAAGGAUCCUGGGUUUACGGUGCAACUACAGGUUUGAGCUAUAUCCUCCAUUCUCGGACAGUCCGCUUCUACACCUCCCAGCACCGGCCUCGGGCGUGACACCCUCGGUAGAUGGAGAUGGAGGAGGGAGAAGAAAUAAACCAAGUACCAUCCUACUGGCCCUAGCAGUUGCACUGGCCGUUGUUUCUGCAGCAUUGACUUUCACUAUAGUUUGCUUUUGUGUAAGGAGAAGGAGAAGACAACAAGAAUUACCGUCACAACCAUAUUCUGGAAACUGGGAAAGCGUUCCAAACAUCAAUUUACCCAUGCUAGAUUUGUCAGCACUGGAAGUUGCAACAGAGAACUUUUCAGAAGGAAAUAAGCUUGGUGAAGGAGGGUUUGGUGCCGUUUACAAGGGAUCCCUUGCUGAUGGCCAAGAGAUAGCAGUGAAGAGACUCUCACAAGGUUCAGCACAAGGAAUAGCAGAGCUAAAAACUGAGCUGGUAUUGGUUGCUAAGCUUCAGCACAAAAACCUUGUGAGGCUUAUCGGCGUUUGUUUGGAAGAACACGAGAAGCUCGUUAUCUACGAAUACAUGCCCAAUAGAAGCCUUGACACGAUCCUCUUUGAUCCUGAGAGGAGCAAGCAUCUUGAUUGGGGGAAGAGGUUCAAGAUAAUAAAUGGGAUUGCCAGAGGUUUGCAAUACGUUCAUGAAGAUUCUCAGUUGAAAAUAAUCCACAGAGACCUCAAAGCAAGCAAUGUUCUGUUAGACUCAGAUUUGAAUCCAAAGAUUUCAGACUUCGGUUUGGCGAGGUUGUUUGAAGGGGAUCAAUCAAAGGAUGUCACAAACAGAGUUGUUGGGACGUUCGGAUACAUGGCACCUGAAUAUGUUGUUCGCGGGCACUAUUCGACAAAAUCAGACGUGUUCAGCUUCGGAAUUCUGGUUUUAGAGAUCAUAACAGGAAGAAGAAACUGUGGAUCUUACAACUCCGAGCAAUCCGUUGACCUCUUAAGUCUUAUAUGGGAACACUGGACCAGCGGAACGAUCUUGGAGAUAGCUGACCCGUCCCUUGCAAGCAGAAGCAGUGUUCCCGAAGAGGAGAUACUCACGUACGUGCACAUCGGACUGAUGUGCGUUCAGGAGAGCCCUGCGGACAGGCCUACGAUGUCACGGGCGAAUGCGAUCCUUAACAGCGACACCGUCUCGCUUCAGGCCCCGUCCAAGCCGGCUUUCUGCAUCCGGGCAUGUACCGCCGGGCCGGAACCACGACACGGCGCCUCGCAAGGCCGUGGCAGGCCGGCGGUGGUUUCACCAAACGAGGUUUCGCUCACGGAGCUUGUACCGAGAUAA